CUACGGGACGCACCAGUGGGGAAUAUUGGACAAUGGGGGAAACCCUGAUCCAGCAAUGCCGCGUGUGUGAAGAGGGCCUGCGGGUUGUAAAGCACUUUCGGUUGGGAGGACUGCUUCUAGCACUAAUAUUGUUGGAAGUUGACGUUACCUUCAGAAGAAGCACCGGCUAACUCCGUGCCAGCAGCCGCGGUAAUACGGAGGGUGCAUGCGUUAAUCGGAAUUACUGGGCGUAAAGCGCGCGUAGGCGGCUAGAUCAGGCGGGUGUGAAAGCCCCGGGCUUAACCUGGGAACUGCAUCCGAUACUGUCUAGCUUGAGUACAGGAGAGGAGAGUGGAAUUCCACAUGUAGCGGUGAAAUGCGUAGAUAUGUGGAGGAACACCAAUGGCGAAGGCAGCUCUCUGGCCUGAUACUGACGCUGAGGUGCGAAAGCGUGGGGAGCAAACAGGAUUAGAUACCCUAGUAGUC
RNAcentral lists this ribosomal RNA (465 nucleotides) under uncultured bacterium. RNAcentral's name for it is "partial 16S ribosomal RNA". It matches the Rfam family "Bacterial small subunit ribosomal RNA", at positions 339 to 795 of the family's 1533-position model. The record is from RNAcentral.